GUACGGGAGGCAGCAGUAGGGAAUUUUCCACAAUGGGCGAAAGCCUGAUGGAGCAACGCCGCGUGCAGGAUGAAUGCCUUCGGGUUGUAAACUGCUUUUAUUAGUGACGAUUAUGACGGUAACUAAUGAAUAAGGACCUGCUAACUACGUGCCAGCAGCCGCGGUCAUACGUAGGGUCCAAGCGUUAUCCGGAAUUACUGGGCGUAAAGAGUUGCGUAGGUGGCAGAGUAAGUAGAUAGUGAAAGCGUGUGGCUCAACCAUACAUCCAUUAUCUAAACUGCUCAGCUAGAGGACGAGAGAGGUAGAUGGAAUUCCUGAUGUAGGGGUAAUAUCCGUAGAUAUCAGGAGGAACACCGAUGGCGUAAGCAGUCUACUGGCUCGUUCCUGACACUAAGGCACGAAAGCGUGGGGAGCAAACAGGAUUAGAUACCCUGGU
This 436-nucleotide ribosomal RNA is filed under the name uncultured bacterium. Its description in RNAcentral is "bacterial SSU rRNA". It matches the Rfam family "Bacterial small subunit ribosomal RNA", at positions 339 to 791 of the family's 1533-position model. The record is from RNAcentral.